This 270-nucleotide long non-coding RNA is filed under the name Eucalyptus grandis. RNAcentral's name for it is "long non-coding RNA (EGRA_LNC006972)". The record is from RNAcentral. Lineage: Eukaryota; Viridiplantae; Streptophyta; Magnoliopsida; Myrtales; Myrtaceae.
CGCCACCGCCGGUCGCCCUCGACGCCACCGCCGUUGAUCUCUGCUUGAGGGUCGAGGCCACCUCUGCUCGCCCUCGACGGCACCACGGCUGACCCCUGGGCCCUGGCUCACCGUUUGCCCUCGACGCCACCGUUGCUCGCCCUCGACGCCACCGCUCGCUGACCCCUGCUCGAGGCCACCUCCUCUCGCCCUCGACAGCACCGGUCACCACCGCUGACCUCUGGCUCGCCGAUCGCCCUCGACGCCACCGUCGCUCGCCCUCGACGCCAC